GUUUGUUUCUCUUGCACUGCUUUUAGGGCUUUCAGCCAAACUCUUGGAACACGUUGGGGUUAGUAGCCCAUAGCAGUACGACUGCUGUUCCAAGCUGCUGAGGUAGCACUCUGCCCUGUUACCUUUUAACGCACUUAGGUUUUGUAUAUACAGAAUCACGCAGUACUAAGGCUUUGCUUUGAACUGGCAGCUGUGAAGUUAGCAGCAACCAUGCCAGGACAGCAGCACAGAGCCUGGCUGACCAGCAUGGUACUGGGGCCCUGGGCAUCCCCAAGUGAAGGAGUGCCCAGCUUCGGUGUUUAUGCCCUGUGUGAUUAAGAGUGAUAAUUUAGUAAUCCUCUUAAGAGCAAAUGUCUCUUAAAGGCUUGCUGUAAGUUCCCGGUCUCACUGGUUGUCUGCAGCUGUUAUUCUAGCAUUGGUGCUUGUUGCACUUGAUAGAGCUAUGUGUAGGCUGAUGUCUUACUAAGAUGGUGGAAGCUUGAACCAUUCGCCUAUAUAAUGAAAAAGCAAAUGCUUUUCCAGAAAUUAGUGGCUGUUAAGCAGAGGGGAGGUAUCUCCUCAGCUGACAUUGUUGUAGCUGUUGCAGACCUGGUUGUCUAUAGAACCUGGAACAGGCAAUUAUGUAAUCUGAAUGUGUUUCCUUUUACACCUCUUCCUGCCCCUCUGCUCUGCAGUGCUGAAGCCUCACCUGCAGUACUGUGUCCAGAUGUGGAGUCCUCAGUACAGGAGAGACAUAGACCUGUUGGAGCAUGUCCAGAGGAGGGCCACAAAAAUGAUCCAAGGGAUGGAACACCUCUCCUAUGAGGACAGACUGAAAGAGCUGGAGCUGUUCAGCCUGGAGAACAGAAGGCUCUGAACUGCGCUAACAAUAAGACGCAUUGGCUCGGAAACCUUUCCUGUCAGAAUCGAUUGUUGCAUUGAUUCCUCAGAUGGGGCACCGAAAGCUCAGAAUAUGAUUUUUAAUGAAGAGCUGCAUGUUGGCAUCACUCCUGGAAGAUCAACUCUUAUAUCUCGCAGUUACAGCGCUCUUAUCAGUAACUUUAUAACCCACCUCUUAAAGAACUGUGUAAUUUAAGUUGAUAUGGAUAUCUGAAAGCUCUCUUUAUUGCCCACAGCUCCUCCUGUAGUUUCAGUUUCACGACUAAAGAGUACAAACACUAACUGCACCUCUGUUUUUACUGCCCUGCUUUAUCAGGCAAACUGCAACUUUACACCUUGUUAAGGAAGCAAAGUGAGAAGAAAACCACAUUAUACUGUUAACAAGGUAGAUAACGCUAUUAUUUACC
RNAcentral lists this long non-coding RNA (1286 nucleotides) under Gallus gallus (chicken). Its description in RNAcentral is "lncRNA (ENSGALG00010007442.1)". Lineage: Eukaryota; Metazoa; Chordata; Aves; Galliformes; Phasianidae. The record is from RNAcentral.